Molecule: ribosomal RNA, 459 nt
Filed under: uncultured bacterium
Lineage: Bacteria
Description: partial 16S ribosomal RNA
Rfam family: Bacterial small subunit ribosomal RNA
Source: RNAcentral
CCUACGGGAGGCAGCAGUGAGGAAUAUUGGUCAAUGGCCGGGAGGCUGAACCAGCCAAGCCGCGUGAAGGACGACUGUACCAAGCAUUGUAAACUUCUUUUGUCAAGGGAUAAAAUCAGGCUCGAGAGCCUGUCCGAGGGUACUUUAAGAAAAAGCAUCGGCUAACUCCGUGCCAGCAGCCGCGGUAAUACGGAGGAUGCGAGCGUUAUCCGGAUUUAUUGGGUUUAAAGGGUGCGUAGGGGGAUUGUUAAGUCAGCGGUAAAAGUCCGGGGCUCAACCCCAGAAAGCAAUUGAAAAUGGCAGUCUUGAGAAGUCGUGAGGUAUGCGGAAUGCGCGGUGUAGCGGUGAAAUGCUUAGAUAUCGCGAAGAACUCCGAUUGCGAAGGCAGCAUACUGACGGCGCUCUGACGUUGAGGCACGAAAGUGUGGGUAUCGAACAGGAUUAGAUACCCGAGUAGUC